This 189-nucleotide ribosomal RNA is filed under the name uncultured Clostridiaceae bacterium. Its description in RNAcentral is "partial 16S ribosomal RNA". It matches the Rfam family "Bacterial small subunit ribosomal RNA", at positions 147 to 334 of the family's 1533-position model. Lineage: Bacteria; Bacillati; Bacillota; Clostridia; Eubacteriales; Clostridiaceae. The record is from RNAcentral.
CCUUUCGAAAGGAAGAUUAAUACCGCAUAAGCCUGCAGCACCGCAUGGUGCAGCAGGAAAAGGAGCAAUCCGCUUUGAGAUGGACCCGCGGCGCAUUAGCUAGUUGGUGAGGUAACGGCUCACCAAGGCCACGAUGCGUAGCCGACCUGAGAGGGUGAUCGGCCACAUUGGAACUGAGACACGGUCCAG